RNAcentral lists this ribosomal RNA (441 nucleotides) under uncultured Sphingobacteriales bacterium. Its description in RNAcentral is "bacterial SSU rRNA". It matches the Rfam family "Bacterial small subunit ribosomal RNA", at positions 941 to 1382 of the family's 1533-position model. The record is from RNAcentral. Lineage: Bacteria; Pseudomonadati; Bacteroidota; Sphingobacteriia; Sphingobacteriales.
GUGGUUUAAAUUCGAUGAUACGCGAGAAACCUUACCAGGGCUUGACAUAUACAGGAAUGUUGUAGAGAUACAGCAGCCGCUUGCGGUCUGUAUACAAGGUGCUGCAUGGUUGUCGUCAGCUCGUGCCGUGAGGUGUCGGGUAAGUCCCAUAACGAGCGCAACCCUAUCAUUAGUUGCCAUCAGGUCAAGCUGGGGACUCUAAUGAAACUGCCUACGCAAGUAGUGAGGAAGGUGGGGAUGACGUCAAAUCAGCACGGCCCUUACGUCCAGGGCUACACACGUGCUACAAUGGCCGGUACAAAGGGCAGCUACCUGGUGACAGGAUGCUAAUCUCAAAAGCCGGUCUCAGUUCGGAUCGGAGUCUGCAACCCGACUCCGUGAAGUUGGAUUCGCUAGUAAUCGCGCAUCAGCCAUGGCGCGGUGAAUACGUUCCCGGGCCUU